AGUUUCCUGUUUAGACAUGUGGGCUUAUCUUCUCUAAAUGCAGAUACUGUAUUGGUGACAUGUUGGUAAACCAGAGCUAAUGGAUACCGCAGAGAACCAGCCGAGUAGGUUGAGGGCUCACAUUUACAUUUUUCAUUCAGCCUCCGCUUUUAUGCAAAGUGACUUACAAUAGGUUCAUUCAACCAAGAGGGUACAGACCCAGAACAACAAGUAAGUGCUAAUAAGCUGCAGAGGUUGCAUGGCGCCGGCAGGUAGACCUGCUAGAAGUGAGUUACAAUAAUCAAGGCAAGGCAAUUUUAUUUGUAUAGCACAUUUCAACAACAAGGCAAUUCAAAGUGCUUCAUAUAAAAACAUCAAAAACAUCCAAACAUAAAGCAAGGAGAUUUAUAAAAAGUUAAGAACAUUGAAACAUAAAAGAAAAACAGUGUAAUUUAAGAAUGUCUUUAAGAAUUCUGUCUUGCCAAAGCGGUCAGUUAAAGGCAGCAGCAUACAGAGAAGUCUUUAAUCUGGAUUAAAAGGAGCUGAAGGAUUCCGCAGACCUGCAGCUUUCUGGGACUUUGUGGAGCAGAAAAACUGAACGCUGCUUCUCCAUGUUUAUUUCUAACUCUGGUAACAGAAAGUAGACCGGUCCCUGACGACCUGAGGGUUCGUGGCGGUUCAUCAGCAGAUCAGAAAUCUAGUUUGGCCCUAAACCAUUCAGUGCUUUAUAAACUAGCAGCAGGAUUUUGAAGUUAAUUCUUUGUUUGGCAAGAAGCCAGUGUAAAUACCUGAGAACUGCAGUGAUGUGAUCCCCUUUCCUGGUACUAGAGAGGACUCGAGCUGCAGCAUUCUUAGUCAAGAUGUGAGAUGACCACACCCUGGACCAGAACCUGCACUGCCUUCUGCGUGAGAAGGGACGUAUUGAGGGAAAGUUGACUGUCGAGUGUAACACCAAGGUUCUUAGCAGGCAGUGAUGGGGUCAGGACGGUGUUGUCCAAGAUGGGAAGAGGAAGUAACCAUCAUACGUUCACGUGUUGAAACAUUUACAUGCCAACAGACAUGCAUCAAGUCUUUUGGAUUACAACAUGUGUGUAAUGAGGCUGUUGUGCCGGAUGAGGUCAAACCAAGUCAUGUUACCAAAUCUAUAAAUAUAUGUAAGUAAAAGUAUUUAGUUUGAGCGUAUUUAGUCCAGUUCAUUAACGUGCCCUUUUCAAAGAAAGCUACAUGUAUUGGCUUGAAUAUUUUCAGGUAAUCGAACUUGUGCGUGACUGUUUGUCGGUUGACAAUUUAAAAAGUUUCACUAUUAAAGAUUGAGCCACUCGGUGCU
Gasterosteus aculeatus aculeatus (three-spined stickleback) is the source of this 1306-nucleotide long non-coding RNA. The record is from Ensembl. NCBI's taxonomy places the organism in Eukaryota, Metazoa, Chordata, Actinopteri, Perciformes, Gasterosteidae.